RNAcentral lists this microRNA precursor (80 nucleotides) under Strigamia maritima. Its description in RNAcentral is "microRNA mir-186". The record is from RNAcentral. Lineage: Eukaryota; Metazoa; Arthropoda; Chilopoda; Geophilomorpha; Linotaeniidae.
UUUGUGAAAGUGUCUUUUAGACUUUUCCAUUUUUUCUGAACCUCCAGAAAAAAUGGAAAGGUCUAAAAGACACUUUAAAA